CCGGGGCAGCUGUCCCCUGGCGUGCAGUUCCAGCGGCGGCAGAACCAGCGCCGCUUCUCCAUGGAGGACGUCAGCAAGAGGCUCUCUCUGCCCAUGGAUAUCCGCCUGCCCCAGGAAUUCCUACAGAAGCUACAGAUGGAGAGCCCAGAUCUGCCCAAGCCGCUCAGCCGCAUGUCCCGCCGGGCCUCCCUGUCAGACAUUGGCUUUGGGAAACUGGAAACAUACGUGAAACUGGACAAACUGGGAGAGGGCACCUAUGCCACAGUCUUCAAAGGGCGCAGCAAACUGACGGAGAACCUUGUGGCCCUGAAAGAGAUCCGGCUGGAGCACGAGGAGGGAGCGCCCUGCACUGCCAUCCGAGAGGUGUCUCUGCUGAAGAACCUGAAGCACGCCAAUAUUGUGACCCUGCAUGACCUCAUCCACACAGAUCGGUCCCUCACCCUGGUGUUUGAGUACCUGGGGUCAGCGUGGGGCAGGACUGAGCCACGCUCUGUGUUCCAGGACAGUGACCUGAAGCAGUAUCUGGACCACUGUGGGAACCUCAUGAGCAUGCACAACGUCAAGAUUUUCAUGUUCCAGCUGCUCCGGGGCCUCGCCUACUGUCACCACCGCAAGAUCCUGCACCGGGACCUGAAGCCCCAGAACCUGCUCAUCAACGAGAGGGGGGAGCUGAAGCUGGCCGAUUUUGGACUGGCCAGGGCCAAGUCAGUGCCCACAAAGACUUACUCCAAUGAGGUGGUGACCCUGUGGUACAGGCCCCCCGAUGUGCUGCUGGGAUCCACAGAGUACUCCACCCCCAUUGAUAUGUGGGGCGUGGGCUGCAUCCACUACGAGAUGGCCACAGGGAGGCCCCUCUUCCCGGGCUCCACAGUCAAGGAGGAGCUGCACCUCAUCUUUCGCCUCCUCGGGACCCCCACAGAAGAGACGUGGCCCGGCGUGACCGCCUUCUCUGAGUUCCGCACCUACAGCUUCCCCUGCUACCUCCCGCAGCCGCUCAUCAACCACGCGCCCAGGUUGGAUACGGAUGGCAUCCACCUCCUGAGCAGCCUGCUCCUGGUGAGUGUCCUCCCGGCGGGGCCCAGGGAGAGGCAGCCAAAGAGCCAAGUCCCUGUGCCCCAUGCCGGGCCUACGCCCCAACUUCUGUGGCUCGUGUGCUUACACGUCUUUGAAACAUCUCCCCUGUACUCUCCACCCCCAAGGCCAAGGGGUGGCCUCCAUACGCAUCCUCUGGAGUCUGUGCACUGCGAGCCCAAACCCGUUACUUAGCUGUGUAGCUCUGGGCAAGUUACAGAGCUCCUCCAUGCCUCAGUUUCCUCAGCUGCAAAGUGGGAUUAAUACCUAUUUUAUAAGAUGGCCGUGAGGAUACAUUGAGAUGACGGGACACACUUAGUGUGGUGCCUGCCUUGUAAGGCACACGAUGAAGGGUUGUUAUCGGCACUACGCUUCCUGUUACGGAUGUUCUCCAUCUGAUCAUGGUUGGUUUGCAUCUGUAUUUCUAUCCCAAGAGAA
This 1509-nucleotide small RNA is filed under the name Pan troglodytes (chimpanzee). Its description in RNAcentral is "processed transcript". The record is from RNAcentral. Lineage: Eukaryota; Metazoa; Chordata; Mammalia; Primates; Hominidae.